RNAcentral lists this unclassified non-coding RNA (269 nucleotides) under Hevea brasiliensis (rubber tree). The record is from RNAcentral. Lineage: Eukaryota; Viridiplantae; Streptophyta; Magnoliopsida; Malpighiales; Euphorbiaceae.
UUGCCAUUCGGGCGCGGCGUCAUCGCCGCAGGUGAGAUAGUGUGGGUGCCGCCCGAUGCGGACAGCGAGACGAUGCAGACGCUACGCGCACAACUUGAAGAACGGUUGAACGAGGUCACGAGCCGCGCUUACCGUCUCGUCGGCCGGGACGAGGGCCUUCAUGCCUAGCGCGCUCCCAGCGACGCUUGCGGCGUAUCGGCGGCUGUCGGCCCUUGCCGCGCCGCUUGCAGCUCCGCUGAUCGCGCGGCGGCUGAAGCAGGGCAAGGAAG